This 443-nucleotide ribosomal RNA is filed under the name uncultured bacterium. Its description in RNAcentral is "partial 16S ribosomal RNA". It matches the Rfam family "Bacterial small subunit ribosomal RNA", at positions 338 to 795 of the family's 1533-position model. The record is from RNAcentral.
CCUACGGGUGGCUGCAGUGGGGAAUAUUGGGCAAUGGAGGAAACGCUGACCCAGCAACGCCGCGUGAAUGAUGAAGGUCUUCGGAAUGUAAAGUUCUUUUCUAAGGGAAGAAGAAAGUGACGGUACCUUAGGAAUAAGCCUCGGCUAACUACGUGCCAGCAGCCGCGGUAAUACGUAGGAGGCGAGCGUUAUCCGGCAUGACUGGGCGUAAAGGGUGCGUAGGUGGGUUGGCAAGUUAGUCGCGAAACUCCAGGGCUCAACCUUGGAACUACUACUGAAACUGUUGGACUUGAGUGCAGGAGAGGCAACCGGAAUUCCUAGUGUAGCGGUGAAAUGCGUAGAUAUUAGGAGGAACACCAGUGGCGAAGGCGGCUUGCUAGACUGUAACUGACGCUGAGGCACGAAAGCGUGGGGAGCAAACAGGAUUAGAUACCCCGGUAGUC